CGACCUCACAUCAGGCGAGACAA
Molecule: ribosomal RNA, 23 nt
Filed under: Ixodes ovatus
Lineage: Eukaryota; Metazoa; Arthropoda; Arachnida; Ixodida; Ixodidae
Description: partial 28S ribosomal RNA
Source: RNAcentral